Molecule: long non-coding RNA, 586 nt
Organism: Erpetoichthys calabaricus (reedfish)
Lineage: Eukaryota; Metazoa; Chordata; Cladistia; Polypteriformes; Polypteridae
Exons: 2
Source: RefSeq, a predicted model, not a curated record
UACAUAUUUAUUCAAGAGGACUCACAAAAAAUGCAACCAAAAAGGUCUGCAGAGAGGAAACCACUGUUUGCUGGCCGAACCCUCAUUUGACUUUGCUGUGCCCACUCCGUAUCUUACCAAAAUCGAUGUAACGGCCAUUACUGUUUUUUUAUUGUUCAGAUUAAAAAAAGGUAUUGCACACUUUCCUCCUUAUUUGCAGAUUCUUUUUUUUACAGUGACUCUAGGUCACUUCCCAACUCUAAACUGGCCCAGCAUGACUUGAGUGUGGAUGAGUAUAUGGCCACCAAUAUUCUGGCACUUCCUCCAGUGUUGGUUUCUGUCUUGCACUCGAUGCUGCUGGGAUAGGCUGCAGCUCCAAUGGGCCUGAAGAGGACUGAGCAAGUUUGAAAAUGAAAGGCAGACGCAUGUGACCUCCCCCAGAAUACCUGAUUCAGCCCUGCAAGGCAAAGCAGCCGCUAACAUUGACGCACUAUGACUCAUUGCUCAAUGAGCGCCACUUGAGGCUAGAAUUACACUGCUUCAGAAGAGCCUGGCUGCUUUCUGUGUGCAUUUUGCUGGAAGAAUACUGUAAAACAGUCCCUGAGGA